AAGGAAUGUCAGGGCGCAUUUAUUUAUCUAAUUAUUACUACGAUUUAAAAGUUCGCACAAAGACCUCAACGCGCGCACAAAGUUGCACACACAUUUGUAAGAAAAUAAAACUUACCCCUCGACCGAAGCGUUUCUUCGCUAACUUUGUUUUAAAACAACUAAUAAUAACUGUUGUGACAUACGCGCACACACACAAAUAUAACGCAAAAAAUUCGUGUCACCACCACCACCAACCACCAAACUCAAAGGAAUGGGGGAGACCAACAUCUGGAACGCUUCUCUCGCCUCGCUCUGAUCGAGGACUCACGUGACCAGGAGACAUGGUUGCUUUGGUAACGUUUACCAGUACCUUGGCCGUAUAUGGAUACAUACGAGGAGCUCCCGAGCGAGCGGCCCUCGUCUUCGUCCUCGGCGUCUUCCUGGGCCUCGUCUCGGCCGUCCUCUCCCUGUCUGCCCGCCGCCUCCCCCGCCCCCCCUCCCCCCCCCUCGCCCCCCUCGCCCCCCACCGCCACG
Molecule: long non-coding RNA, 513 nt
Organism: Lethenteron reissneri (Far Eastern brook lamprey)
Lineage: Eukaryota; Metazoa; Chordata; Hyperoartia; Petromyzontiformes; Petromyzontidae
Source: RefSeq, a predicted model, not a curated record